This 497-nucleotide ribosomal RNA is filed under the name uncultured bacterium. RNAcentral's name for it is "partial 16S ribosomal RNA". It matches the Rfam family "Bacterial small subunit ribosomal RNA", at positions 28 to 507 of the family's 1533-position model. The record is from RNAcentral.
GAUGAACGCUGGCGGCGUGCCUAAUACAUGCAAGUCGAGCGAACGGACGCGGAGCUUGCUUCUCUGACGUUAGCGGCGGACGGGUGAGUAACACGUGGAUACCCUCCCUAUCAGACUGGGAUAACUUCGGGACACCGGAGCUAAUACCGGAUAAUAUUUUGAACCGCAUGGUUCAAAAGUGAAAGACGGUCUUGCUGUCACUUAUAGAUGGUUCCGCGCUGCAUUAGCUAGUUGGUAAGGUAACGGCUUACCAAGGCAACGAUGCAUAGCCGACCUGAGAGGGUGAUCGGCCACACUGGAACUGAGACAGCGUCCAGACUCCUACGGGAGGCAGCAGUAGGGAAUCUUACGCAAUGGGCGAAAGCCUGACGGAGCAACGCCGCGUGAGUGAUGAAGGCCUUCGGAGCGUAAAACUCUGUUACGAGGGAAGAACAUAUGUGUAAGUAACUGUGCACAGCGUGACGGUACCUAAUCAGAAAGCCACGGCUAACUACGUG